CCUACGGGAGGCAGCAGUGGGGAAUUUUGGACAAUGGGCGNAAGCCUGAUCCAGCAAUGCCGCGUGCAGGAUGAAGGCCUUCGGGUUGUAAACUGCUUUUGUACGGAACGAAACGGUUCGCCUUAAUACGGUGGGCUAAUGACGGUACCGUAAGAAUAAGCACCGGCU
Molecule: ribosomal RNA, 168 nt
Filed under: uncultured bacterium
Lineage: Bacteria
Description: partial 16S ribosomal RNA
Rfam family: Bacterial small subunit ribosomal RNA
Source: RNAcentral